UACGUAGGGGGCAAGCGUUGUCCGGAUUUAUUGGGCGUAAAGAGCUCGUAGGCGGUCUGUCGCGUCUGCUGUGAAAACUCGGGGCUUAACCCCGGGCCUGCAGUGGGUACGGGCAGACUAGAGUGCGGUAGGGGAGACUGGAAUUCCUGGUGUAGCGGUGAAAUGCGCAGAUAUCAGGAGGAACACCGGUGGCGAAGGCGGGUCUCUGGGCCGUAACUGACGCUGAGGAGCGAAAGCAUGGGGAGCGAACAGG
Molecule: ribosomal RNA, 253 nt
Filed under: uncultured bacterium
Lineage: Bacteria
Description: partial 16S ribosomal RNA
Rfam family: Bacterial small subunit ribosomal RNA
Source: RNAcentral